CCACUCCGUGGCAAUGAUUGUCGCGUUUCUCGGUGUCUAAAAUUUCAUCGAGUUCUGCUUUUGCACUUUCCCCCAACUUUACUCCCAAAAACUUUUCCCCUUCGAACUUUUAUCCCCUAAAAAAAAAAGGGUGUUCGAACAAAUUGUAAAUCGACAACCAACUGUAAAAGGGCGGUUGAUUUUAAGAAAAUAAUAAUAAUAAUAAUAAUAAUAAUAAUAAUAAUAAAAGAAAAGAAUCAUUCGUAGAAAAUUUCGACUAAUCAAAAAUCUUCACUUUCAGGCGCGAUUGAAUCCGAGAUGAAGCUCGGCUCGUUCAACCGAAUCGAAGUUUCGCACGAACCCCAUUGGACCGAGUCGAUGCCGGAUAAAUUUAUUUUAAGUGUCCUUCCGAUACCUCGAUUCACCAUGCUCGGUCGAAAGGAGUAAUAGCAACUGAGAGACUCGUCUGGCAAGUUUGUGUGACCCGACGCUGUGUCAGACGCGAUUGAAAAAAAAAGGAAGAGAAGAUAGAGACGCGAGAAGAAACGGUAUUUCCGGGCGCAUAUGAAAUGCAGAAGUGACGGGGGGAGGGGAGA
Long non-coding RNA from Apis dorsata (giant honeybee), 575 nucleotides. RefSeq lists it as uncharacterized. The record is from RefSeq and is a predicted model, not a curated record. The transcript is spliced from 2 exons. NCBI's taxonomy places the organism in Eukaryota, Metazoa, Arthropoda, Insecta, Hymenoptera, Apidae.